This 468-nucleotide ribosomal RNA is filed under the name uncultured bacterium. RNAcentral's name for it is "partial 16S ribosomal RNA". It matches the Rfam family "Bacterial small subunit ribosomal RNA", at positions 28 to 507 of the family's 1533-position model. The record is from RNAcentral.
GACGAACGCUGGCGGCGUGCUUAACACAUGCAAGUCGAACGGAAAGGCCCUGCUUUUGUGGGGUGCUUGUGUGGCGAACGGGUGUGUAACACGCGAGUAACCUGCCCUUGACUUUGUGAUAACUUCUGGAAACUGGGGCUAAUACCGGAUAGGAGCUCCUGCUGCAUGGUGGUGGAUGGAAAGUUACGGCGGUUGGGGAUGGUCUCGCGGCUUAUCAGCUUCUUUGUGGAGUAGUGGCUUUCCCAGGCUUCGACGGGUAGGCGGCCUGAGCGGGUGACCGGCGACACUGGGUCUGAGGUGCGGCCCAGGCUGCUACGGGAGGGAGCAGUGGGAAAGAUUGAAGGAUGGGCGGAAGCCGGGUGAAGAAGCGCCGCGUGCGGGAAGACGGCCUUCGGGGUGUAGACCGCUUGUGCCUGUAACGAAGCGUAAGUGGAGGGAAUGGGUAAAGAAGGACCCGCUAAAUACGUG